GGGCAGUCCAUCGGAUGGGAAUCUUUCCUCCCUGCAGAAAAAGGAGAAAAGGGCAUGCCAUGUGAUCCACAGGAAGAAGGACAUGAAGAUAGGACUUUGACCGGGUGCAGUGGCUCAUGCCUGUAAUCCCAGCACUUCGGGAGGCCGAGGCGGGCGAAUCACAAGGUCAGGAGUUCGAGACCAGCCUGGCCAACGCGGUGAAGCCCCGUCUCUACUAAAAAUACAAAAAAUCGGCCAGGCGCGGUGGCAGGCGCCUGUAAUCCCAGCUACUCGGGAGGCUGAGGCAGGAGAAUGGCUUGAAUCCGGGAGGCGGAGGUUGCAGUGAGCGGAGAUGGUGCCACUGCACUCCAGCCUGAGGGACAGAGCAAG
Molecule: long non-coding RNA, 369 nt
Filed under: Homo sapiens (human)
Lineage: Eukaryota; Metazoa; Chordata; Mammalia; Primates; Hominidae
Description: HSALNT0126453
Source: RNAcentral